AGAGUUUGAUCCUGGCUCAGAACGAACGCUGGCGGCAGGCUUAACACAUGCAAGUCGAGCGCCCGCAAGGGGAGCGGCAGACGGGUGAGUAACGCGUGGGAACAUACCCUUUGCUACGGAACAACUCCGGGAAACUGGAGCUAAUACCGUAUGUGCCCUUCGGGGGAAAGAUUUAUCGGCAAAGGAUUGGCCCGCGUUGGAUUAGCUAGUUGGUGGGGUAAAGGCCUACCAAGGCGACGAUCCAUAGCUGGUCUGAGAGGAUGAUCAGCCACAUUGGGACUGAGACACGGCCCAAACUCCUACGGGAGGCAGCAGUGGGGAAUAUUGGACAAUGGGCGCAAGCCUGAUCCAGCCAUGCCGCGUGUGUGAUGAAGGCCUUAGGGUUGUAAAGCACUUUCACCGAUGAAGAUAAUGACGGUAGUCGGAGAAGAAGCCCCGGCUAACUUCGUG
Molecule: ribosomal RNA, 450 nt
Filed under: uncultured Rhizobium sp.
Lineage: Bacteria; Pseudomonadati; Pseudomonadota; Alphaproteobacteria; Hyphomicrobiales; Rhizobiaceae
Description: bacterial SSU rRNA
Rfam family: Bacterial small subunit ribosomal RNA
Source: RNAcentral